This 407-nucleotide unclassified non-coding RNA is filed under the name soil metagenome. Its description in RNAcentral is "partial contains 5.8S ribosomal RNA, internal transcribed spacer 2, and large subunit ribosomal RNA". The stretch from base 1 to 122 matches the Rfam family "5.8S ribosomal RNA", at positions 35 to 154 of the family's 154-position model. The record is from RNAcentral.
GAUGAAGAACGUAGCGAAAUGCGAUACUUGGUGUGAAUUGCAGAAUCCCGCGAAUCAUCGAGUCUUUGAACGCAAGUUGCGCCCGAAGCCAUUUGGUCGAGGGCACGUCUGCCUGGGUGUCACGCAUCGUUGCCCCCAACCCCAUUGCUUCUCCAAGAGACGAGGGCGGUUUGUGGGGCGGACAUUGGCCUCCCGUGAGCUUUUGAUUGCGGCUGGCCUAAAAGGGAGUCCUCGGCGACGAGCGCCACGACAAUCGGUGGUUGACAAACCCUCGUGUCCCGUCGUGCGUGCCUUGUCGCUCAUCUCGUGCUCUGUGACCCUAUAGCGUCGCGCUUGUGACUCUUCCAACGCGACCCCAGGUCAGGCGGGACUACCCGCUGAAUUUAAGCAUAUCAAUAAGCGGAGGA